CCUGCUUCACUCCCUGCACAGAAGCAGGGAAGACCAUAGAGACUGUCUAUUUUCAAACACUGUCUGACCAAAGGUGCAUGUAUAUGGCUGAAGGAUUCUGUCAUUUACUUAAGGUAGGGAUGAGUUUUUCCUCAUUUUGUAGGAUACCACGCCAUUUACAAAAAAAACUCAAUUUCCUUUCAAUACUUGAUGAAAGGAUUAUUAUAUUACAUAACCCUUUGAGGUGACAGUUGCCCUUCAAGUUUCUCAAUUUCAAAUCUACAAGUGUGCCACUUUUUUUUGAUACCUAUUGAUAAACAAUAUGUCUGGUUCCUGGAUUCCAAGUUGUCUGUAAGGUCUUUGACAUUUACUGUUCAUUCUUGAUAAAGGGGUUCGGUAUGUCUUGAUGAUAUCUGGUUAUACUAUGUUAAAGGAAUCAUUUGAUAAUAUGAU
Pelobates cultripes (western spadefoot toad) is the source of this 432-nucleotide non-coding RNA. The record is from the annotation of a GenBank genome assembly. Lineage: Eukaryota; Metazoa; Chordata; Amphibia; Anura; Pelobatidae.